RNAcentral lists this ribosomal RNA (2927 nucleotides) under Salmonella enterica subsp. enterica serovar Senftenberg. RNAcentral describes it as "bacterial LSU rRNA". It matches the Rfam family "Bacterial large subunit ribosomal RNA". The record is from RNAcentral. Lineage: Bacteria; Pseudomonadati; Pseudomonadota; Gammaproteobacteria; Enterobacterales; Enterobacteriaceae.
GGGUUGUGAGGUUAAGCGACUAAGCGUACACGGUGGAUGCCCUGGCAGUCAGAGGCGAUGAAGGACGUGCUAAUCUGCGAUAAGCGCCGGUAAGGUGAUAUGAACCGUUAUAACCGGCGAUUUCCGAAUGGGGAAACCCAGUGUGACUCGUCACACUAUCAUUAACUGAAUCCAUAGGUUAAUGAGGCGAACCGGGGGAACUGAAACAUCUAAGUACCCGAGGAAAAGAAAUCAACCGAGAUUCCCCCAGUAGCGGCGAGCGAACGGGGAGGAGCCCAGAGCCUGAAUCAGCAUGUGUGUUAGUGGAAGCGUCUGGAAAGGCGCGCGAUACAGGGUGACAGCCCCGUACACAAAAGCGCAUGUGCUGUGAGCUCGAUGAGUAGGGCGGGACACGUGGUAUCCUGUCUGAAUAUGGGGGGACCAUCCUCCAAGGCUAAAUACUCCUGACUGACCGAUAGUGAACCAGUACCGUGAGGGAAAGGCGAAAAGAACCCCGGCGAGGGGAGUGAAAAAGAACCUGAAACCGUGUACGUACAAGCAGUGGGAGCACAGGUUUACCUGUGUGACUGCGUACCUUUUGUAUAAUGGGUCAGCGACUUAUAUUCUGUAGCAAGGUUAACCGAAUAGGGGAGCCGGAGGGAAACCGAGUCUUAAUUGGGCGUUAAGUUGCAGGGUAUAGACCCGAAACCCGGUGAUCUAGCCAUGGGCAGGUUGAAGGUUGGGUAACACUAACUGGAGGACCGAACCGACUAAUGUUGAAAAAUUAGCGGAUGACCUGUGGCUGGGGGUGAAAGGCCAAUCAAACCGGGAGAUAGCUGGUUCUCCCCGAAAGCUAUUUAGGUAGCGCCUCGUGAAUUCAUCUCCGGGGGUAGAGCACUGUUUCGGCUAGGGGGCCAUCCCGGCUUACCAACCCGAUGCAAACUGCGAAUACCGGAGAAUGUUAUCACGGGAGACACACGGCGGGUGCUAACGUCCGUCGUGAAGAGGGAAACAACCCAGACCGCCAGCUAAGGUCCCAAAGUCAUGGUUAAGUGGGAAACGAUGUGGGAAGGCCCAGACAGCCAGGAUGUUGGCUUAGAAGCAGCCAUCAUUUAAAGAAAGCGUAAUAGCUCACUGGUCGAGUCGGCCUGCGCGGAAGAUGUAACGGGGCUAAACCAUGCACCGAAGCUGCGGCAGCGACACUGUGUGUUGUUGGGUAGGGGAGCGUUCUGUAAGCCUGCGAAGGUGGCCUGUGAGGGUUGCUGGAGGUAUCAGAAGUGCGAAUGCUGACAUAAGUAACGAUAAAGCGGGUGAAAAGCCCGCUCGCCGGAAGACCAAGGGUUCCUGUCCAACGUUAAUCGGGGCAGGGUGAGUCGACCCCUAAGGCGAGGCCGAAAGGCGUAGUCGAUGGGAAACGGGUUAAUAUUCCCGUACUUGGUGUUACUGCGAAGGGGGGACGGAGAAGGCUAUGUUGGCCGGGCGACGGUUGUCCCGGUUUAAGCGUGUAGGUGUGUGUUCCAGGUAAAUCCGGUUCACUUUAACACUGAGGCGUGACGACGAGGCACUACGGUGCUGAAGCAACAAAUGCCCUGCUUCCAGGAAAAGCCUCUAAGCAUCAGGUAACAUCAAAUCGUACCCCAAACCGACACAGGUGGUCAGGUAGAGAAUACCAAGGCGCUUGAGAGAACUCGGGUGAAGGAACUAGGCAAAAUGGUGCCGUAACUUCGGGAGAAGGCACGCUGACACGUAGGUGAAGUGAUUUACUCAUGGAGCUGAAGUCAGUCGAAGAUACCAGCUGGCUGCAACUGUUUAUUAAAAACACAGCACUGUGCAAACACGAAAGUGGACGUAUACGGUGUGACGCCUGCCCGGUGCCGGAAGGUUAAUUGAUGGGGUCAGCGCAAGCGAAGCUCCUGAUCGAAGCCCCGGUAAACGGCGGCCGUAACUAUAACGGUCCUAAGGUAGCGAAAUUCCUUGUCGGGUAAGUUCCGACCUGCACGAAUGGCGUAAUGAUGGCCAGGCUGUCUCCACCCGAGACUCAGUGAAAUUGAACUCGCUGUGAAGAUGCAGUGUACCCGCGGCAAGACGGAAAGACCCCGUGAACCUUUACUAUAGCUUGACACUGAACAUUGAGCCUUGAUGUGUAGGAUAGGUGGGAGGCUUUGAAGCGUGGACGCCAGUCUGCGUGGAGCCAACCUUGAAAUACCACCCUUUAAUGUUUGAUGUUCUAACGUGGACCCGUAAUCCGGGUUGCGGACAGUGUCUGGUGGGUAGUUUGACUGGGGCGGUCUCCUCCUAAAGAGUAACGGAGGAGCACGAAGGUUGGCUAAUCCUGGUCGGACAUCAGGAGGUUAGUGCAAUGGCAUAAGCCAGCUUGACUGCGAGCGUGACGGCGCGAGCAGGUGCGAAAGCAGGUCAUAGUGAUCCGGUGGUUCUGAAUGGAAGGGCCAUCGCUCAACGGAUAAAAGGUACUCCGGGGAUAACAGGCUGAUACCGCCCAAGAGUUCAUAUCGACGGCGGUGUUUGGCACCUCGAUGUCGGCUCAUCACAUCCUGGGGCUGAAGUAGGUCCCAAGGGUAUGGCUGUUCGCCAUUUAAAGUGGUACGCGAGCUGGGUUUAGAACGUCGUGAGACAGUUCGGUCCCUAUCUGCCGUGGGCGCUGGAGAACUGAGGGGGGCUGCUCCUAGUACGAGAGGACCGGAGUGGACGCAUCACUGGUGUUCGGGUUGUCAUGCCAAUGGCACUGCCCGGUAGCUAAAUGCGGAAGAGAUAAGUGCUGAAAGCAUCUAAGCACGAAACUUGCCCCGAGAUGAGUUCUCCCUGAGACUUAAAGUCUCCUGAAGGAACGUUGAAGACGACGACGUUGAUAGGCCGGGUGUGUAAGCGCAGCGAUGCGUUGAGCUAACCGGUACUAAUGAACCGUGAGGCUUAACCUUACAACGCCGAAG